This 221-nucleotide long non-coding RNA is filed under the name Salvia miltiorrhiza (redroot sage). RNAcentral describes it as "long non-coding RNA (SMIL_LNC005309)". Lineage: Eukaryota; Viridiplantae; Streptophyta; Magnoliopsida; Lamiales; Lamiaceae. The record is from RNAcentral.
GGACGGAUAUGGUGGAGGGAUUUCUGGUAGAGGCAGAGUGGUACCACAGAGGAUACAAACCAAGUCUAGAAGAGUAUCUGGACAACGGAUGGAUGUCAAGCGGAAACGGUGUUGCACUAACCCAUGCAUUUUUCGGAGUAACAACUUCUCUUACAAAGGAGAUUAUCCACAGUUUUUACGGAUACCACGAAAUAGUCCGUUUGUCAUCAAUGAUUCUGCGG